Molecule: ribosomal RNA, 448 nt
Filed under: uncultured prokaryote
Description: bacterial SSU rRNA
Rfam family: Bacterial small subunit ribosomal RNA
Source: RNAcentral
UGGGGAAUAUUGCGCAAUGGGCGAAAGCCUGACGCAGCGACGCCUCGUGAGGGAUGAAGGUCUUCGGAUCGUAAACCUCUGUCAAGAGGGAAGAAACCCUUGGAUUCGAAUAGGGUCCUUGGCUGACGGUACCUCAAAAGGAAGCACCGGCUAACUCCGUGCCAGCCGCCGCGGUAAUACGGAGGGUGCAAGCGUUAAUCGGAAUCACUGGGCGUAAAGCGCUCGUAGGCGGUUUGGUCAGUAAGAUGUGAAAGCCCUCGGCUUAACCGGGGAACUGCAUGUGAUACUGUCAGACUUGAGUGUCGGAGAGGGUGGCGGAAUUCCGGGUGUAGGAGUGAAAUCCGUAGAUAGCCGGAGGAACACCAGUGGCGAAGGCGGCCACCUGGACGACAACUGACGCUGAGGAGCGAAAGCGUGGGGAGCAAACAGGAUGAGAGACCCGGUAGUC